GAUGAACGCUGGCGGCGUGCCUAAUACAUGCAAGUCGAGCGAACAGACGAGGAGCUUGCUCCUCUGACGUUAGCGGCGGACGGGUGAGUAACACGUGGAUAACCUCCCUAUAAGACUGGGAUAACUUCGGGAAACCGGAGCUAAUACCGGAUAAUAUAUUGAACCGCAUGGUUCAAUAGUGAAAGACGGUUUUGCUGUCACUUAUAGAUGGAUCCGCGCCGCAUUAGCUAGUUGGUAAGGUAACGGCUUACCAAGGCAACGAUGCGUAGCCGACCUGUGAGGGUGAUCGGCCACACUGGAACUGAGACACGGUCCAGACUCCUACGGGAGGCAGCAGUAGGGAAUCUUCCGCAAUGGGCGAAAGCCUGACGGAGCAACGCCGCGUGAGUGAUGAAGGUCUUCGGAUCGUAAAACUCUGUUAUUAGGGAAGAACAAAUGUGUAAGUAACUAUGCACGUCUUGACGGUACCUAAUCAGAAAGCCACGGCUAACUACGUG
RNAcentral lists this ribosomal RNA (497 nucleotides) under uncultured bacterium. RNAcentral describes it as "partial 16S ribosomal RNA". It matches the Rfam family "Bacterial small subunit ribosomal RNA", at positions 28 to 507 of the family's 1533-position model. The record is from RNAcentral.